Molecule: ribosomal RNA, 252 nt
Filed under: uncultured bacterium
Lineage: Bacteria
Description: partial 16S ribosomal RNA
Rfam family: Bacterial small subunit ribosomal RNA
Source: RNAcentral
UACGAGGGGGGCGAGCGUUGUUCGGAAUUAUUGGGCGUAAAGGGUGCGUAGGCGGUUGGUAAGUCUUGUGUGAAAUCUCCAGGCUCAACUUGGAGUCUGCACGAGAAACUGCCGGGCUUGAGUGUGGGAGAGGUGAGUGGAAUUCCUGGUGUAGCGGUGAAAUGCGUAGAUAUCAGGAGGAACACCUGUGGCGAAAGCGGCUCACUGGACCACAACUGACGCUGAUGCACGAAAGCUAGGGGAGCAAACAGG